CCCUUAGAUGUUCUGGGCCGCACGCGUGCUACACUGAGUGGAUCAGCGGGUCAGGUUGCGCGAAAGUGUUUCCUAAUCUUUAAAUCCGCUCGUGAUGGGGAUUGACGGUUGCAAUUUUCCGUCAUGAACGAGGAAUACCUUGUAAGCGCGGGUCAUCAUCCCGCGCUAAAUACGUCCCUGCCCUUUGUACACACCGCCCGUCGCUCCUACCGAUUGAGUGGUCCGGUGAGGCUUUGGGAUCUGAGCGGAAAGAGCGUUUCGCUGUUUCUGCCCGGAAAACUCAGUCGAACCUUAUCAUUUAGAGGAAGGAGAAGUCGUAACA
This 322-nucleotide ribosomal RNA is filed under the name uncultured eukaryote. RNAcentral's name for it is "partial 18S ribosomal RNA". It matches the Rfam family "Eukaryotic small subunit ribosomal RNA", at positions 1470 to 1796 of the family's 1831-position model. The record is from RNAcentral.